RNAcentral lists this ribosomal RNA (253 nucleotides) under uncultured bacterium. Its description in RNAcentral is "partial 16S ribosomal RNA". It matches the Rfam family "Bacterial small subunit ribosomal RNA", at positions 524 to 776 of the family's 1533-position model. The record is from RNAcentral.
UACGUAGGGUGCGAGCGUUAAUCGGAAUUACUGGGCGUAAAGCGUGCGCAGGCGGUUUUGUAAGCCAGAUGUGAAAGCCCCGGGCUUAACCUGGGAAUGGCAUUUGGGACUGCAAGGCUGGAGUGUGGCAGAGGAGACUGGAAUUUACGGUGUAGCAGUGAAAUGCGUAGAUAUCGUAAGGAAGACCAGUGGCGAAGGCGAGUCUCUGGACAGUUACCGACGCUGAGGCACGAAGGCCAGGGGAGCAAACGGG